AGAGUUUGAUCCUGGCUCAGGACGAACGCUGGCGGCGUGCUUAACACAUGCAAGUCGAGCGGAAAGGCCCUUCGGGGUACUCGAGCGGCGAACGGGUGAGUAACACGUGAGUAACCUGCCCCAAUCUUUGGGAUAACCCUCGGAAACGGGGGCUAAUACCGGAUACGACAUUCCACCGCAUGGUGUGUUUGUGGAAAGAUUUUUCGGUUUGGGAUGGACUCGCGGCCUAUCAGCUUGUUGGUGGGGUGAUGGCCUACCAAGGCGACGACGGGUAGCCGGCCUGAGAGGGCGACCGGCCACACUGGGACUGAGACACGGCCCAGACUCCUACGGGAGGCAGCAGUGGGGAAUAUUGCACAAUGGGCGGAAGCCUGAUGCAGCGACGCCGCGUGAGGGAUGACGGCCUUCGGGUUGUAAACCUCUUUCAGCAGGGACGAAGCGUGAGUGACGGUACCUGCAGAAGAAGCGCCGGCCAACUACGUG
RNAcentral lists this ribosomal RNA (483 nucleotides) under uncultured Actinoplanes sp. Its description in RNAcentral is "bacterial SSU rRNA". It matches the Rfam family "Bacterial small subunit ribosomal RNA", at positions 8 to 507 of the family's 1533-position model. Lineage: Bacteria; Bacillati; Actinomycetota; Actinomycetes; Micromonosporales; Micromonosporaceae. The record is from RNAcentral.